UGUUGGUAAAUCUCGUGCCAGCCACCGCGGUUAUACGAAUUGGCCCAAGUUGAUAGGUAUCGGCGUAAAGCGUGGUUAAGGACUAACUAAAGACUAGAGCCGAACGUCCUCAAAGCUGUUAUACGCUUCCGAAAGAACGAAGUCCCCCAACGAAAGUGGCUUUAAUACCCAACCUGACCCCACGAAAGCUGUGAAACAAACUAGGAUUAGAUACCCCAC
Molecule: ribosomal RNA, 219 nt
Filed under: Crenicichla alta
Lineage: Eukaryota; Metazoa; Chordata; Actinopteri; Cichliformes; Cichlidae
Description: partial small subunit ribosomal RNA
Source: RNAcentral